CAGUUACUAAUCAUGUAAAGAAGCAACGUUUACAGGUAGAAGGUCGAAAUCGCACGUUGCGCACGAAACCAUCAUGCAAAAUGGACGGUGCAAGUAUCUCGCAGCAGGUUGAACAAAGGAUCUUGUAAUUAGCAAAAAUCUGACAACAAUUCGGCGGACGUGCCAAAUGGCAAUCAUGAUUCUCUUUCGACUGGAAGGGCAGUUGCUUUAUUGAGGGUUAAGCGUUGACAUUAGCCGGUCUGGUUCUAGAGAACUUGCGAAAUCCAACCUCAGUUACUAUGUGAUCAUUCCUGACGGAGGGCUUGGAGACUAGGCACGUCCGAUCAGCAGUCAAAAGAACUUCCAAAACUCGACCUGAAUGACGUUCCGUGCCACGUCAUGGGGCCGAGAACUAGAAAGCCUCUCGAGUUGACCUUUUGAAGGCCUUAGACUGAGACCUGGUAUAGCUCACACCUUUAGCUAGACCCACAAAAGAUGGAUCGACUACAGUUGCACAGAUAACAACAUUUCAUACUUGCAAAAUAAAAAUGUCAUAGUUUUUACACAUUCAUGUUCUUCCGACUGUACUUUACAAGGGUUAGAAUUUCCCGAGGAUAGGUCUAACCUAAAAUGCCAUGUCAGGAAAGCAGAGACUACGAUUUCUGUGCCGUUUCAGACAAAAGAUUUUCAUCCUGUACAUAGAUAGAGAGACUACUGAACUGAAAUCGUUCUCUAAAACAAAAUAAUUUGCAGAAACUCCAUAGAAACUACUUCAGCACGUACAGCAACCACAAGCACCCCUGCAAGCAACACAAGAUACAAAAAACGGUCACAUGUAAGGCAGGUUUCAACCGAGGUAAGACAUAUAUGCACAAUAUAAGUGUUUGUCAUAGAUGUCAGCCGCACACCGAAAAGGAGAAGCAAAGAGAAACAAAACUAUCUAUGUGGCAACUCUGAACGUCCCAUGAUCCCUAGAGCUCACAUGACGCUAUCUACGGCAGUACUGGCUUAAUAGGACUGGAGUUGCCGUACUUAUGGGCAUGCUAAACUAGAACACCCAGAAAAGCAUACUAGACAGUGAAUUGAAAAAUGGUCUGAUCUAAAAAGAUUCGGUAGAUGUCGUUUACACAUUCAACAAAGGAACUUCAAGGAACCAGGUAGUAAGUGGAAUAAUAUCAUCGAAGCUCCUUCAGAUCAUAUACCCUUGAGGAAACAAAUAUGCUGUUUUAGACAAA
Rhodamnia argentea is the source of this 1214-nucleotide long non-coding RNA. RefSeq lists it as uncharacterized. The transcript is spliced from 2 exons. The record is from RefSeq and is a predicted model, not a curated record. NCBI's taxonomy places the organism in Eukaryota, Viridiplantae, Streptophyta, Magnoliopsida, Myrtales, Myrtaceae.